This is a long non-coding RNA of Panicum hallii, 559 nucleotides long. RefSeq lists it as uncharacterized. The record is from RefSeq and is a predicted model, not a curated record. NCBI's taxonomy places the organism in Eukaryota, Viridiplantae, Streptophyta, Magnoliopsida, Poales, Poaceae. The transcript has 3 exons.
CCGUUCUUUACUUCACAGAAAUGCUGCACGUUUGACCAGCUCAAGUCGGCCGCAUACUGGCUUGCACAGAUCCGCCUUGCUGAAUCUGAUGGGAAGCACUAGGUUGCUGCAGAAUUCUUUCGCCUUGCACUUGAGUGCCAAACUGCGGGUCUAAAUUACUAGAGGAAUUACUCGCAGGAUGACAUGAAAGAGGAAAGGCACGGCCGCACGGGCAACAGGCAGGAGGCUACUGUACUGCACAACAAUCACAUUGCAUAGGUGCUGUUGCAACGGGCAACGGCUGAUGGCGCAUGGCUUAUCCAAUGACACGUCAGGUAUUAUUUGUUCGGGAUUUGGUACUGUUUUAUAGUAUACUGAUCAUUAUUACUUCAUUUUCUAUUGUUGGACCAACACAGAAGAGUAGACUUUCAUCCUUAUUACUUCUGGAGUUUGGCAUUUGUCUAUUUGCCUUGCGGGUGCCUAAAAUCUACAGUUUCCCAUUCUACCUACAUCAAUUCCUGUCGGAACUUUGAGUUAAUCUAUUUCUGAGACAUCGCAACCCGCGGGCACUCGCUAGUAA